Molecule: ribosomal RNA, 468 nt
Filed under: uncultured bacterium
Lineage: Bacteria
Description: partial 16S ribosomal RNA
Rfam family: Bacterial small subunit ribosomal RNA
Source: RNAcentral
GACGAACGCUGGCGGCGUGCUUAACACAUGCAAGUCGAACGGAAAGGCCCUGCUUUUGUGGGGUGCUCGAGUGGCGAACGGGUGAGUAACACGUGAGUAACCUGCCCUUGACUUUGGGAUAACUUCAGGAAACUGGGGCUAAUACCGGAUAGGAGCUCCUGCUGCAUGGUGGGGGUUGGAAAGUUUCGGCGGUUGGGGAUGGACUCGCGGCUUAUCAGCUUGUUGGUGGGGUAGUGGCUUACCAAGGCUUUGACGGGUAGCCGGCCUGAGAGGGUGACCGGCCACCUUGGGACCGGGGUACCGGCCCGGCUCCUCAGGGGGGGAGGAGGGGGGAAUUUUGCCCAAUGGGGGGAAGCCUUAUGCAGGAACGCCGGGGGGCGGAUGGCGGCCUUCGGGUUGUAAACCCGUUUCGGCCUGGGCGAAGGCUGAGUGACGGUAAUGGGUAAAGAAGCACCGGCUAACUACGUG